Molecule: ribosomal RNA, 253 nt
Filed under: uncultured bacterium
Lineage: Bacteria
Description: partial 16S ribosomal RNA
Rfam family: Bacterial small subunit ribosomal RNA
Source: RNAcentral
UACGUAGGGCGCAAGCGUUAUCCGGAAUUAUUGGGCGUAAAGAGCUCGUAGGCGGUUUGUCGCGUCUGCCGCGAAAGUCCGGGGCUCAACUCCGGAUCUGCGGUGGGUACGGGCAGACUAGAGUGAUGUAGGGGAGACUGGAAUUCCUGGUGUAGCGGUGAAAUGCGCAGAUAUCAGGAGGAACACCGGUGGCGAAGGCGGUUCUCUGGGCCUGUACUGACGCUGAGGAACGAAAGCGUGGGGAGCGAACAGG